AGUGAACGCUGGCGGCAUGCUUUACACAUGCAAGUCGAACGGCAGCGCGGUCUUCGGCCUGGCUGCGAGUGGCGAACGGGUGAGUAAUGCAUCGGAACGUGCCCAGUUGUGGGGGAUAGCCCGGCGAAAGCCGGAUUAAUACCGCAUACGACCUGAGGGUGAAAGCGGGGGACCGAAAGGCCUCGCGCCAUUGGAGCGGCCGAUGUCGGAUUAGCUAGUUGGUGGGGUAAAGGCUUACCAAGGCGACGAUCCGUAGCUGGUCUGAGAGGACGACCAGCCACACUGGGACUGAGACACGGCCCAGACUCCUACGGGAGGCAGCAGUGGGGAAUUUUGGACAAUGGGGGCAAACCUGAUCCAGCCAUGCCGCGUGAGGGAAGAAGGCCUUCGGGUUGUAAACCGCUUUUGUUCGGGAAGAAAUCCUGUGGGCUAAUACCCCGGGGGGAUGACGGUACCGGAAGAAUAAGCACCGGCUAACUACGUG
RNAcentral lists this ribosomal RNA (484 nucleotides) under uncultured bacterium. RNAcentral's name for it is "partial 16S ribosomal RNA". It matches the Rfam family "Bacterial small subunit ribosomal RNA", at positions 30 to 507 of the family's 1533-position model. The record is from RNAcentral.